UGGGGAAUAUUGGACAAUGGGCGCAAGCCUGAUCCAGCAAUACCGCGUGUGUGAAGAAGGCCUGAGGGUUGUAAAGCACUUUCAGUGGGGAGGAAAAAGGGCUGGUUAAUACCUGGCUCCUUGACAUUACCCACAGAAGAAGCACCGGCUAACUCCGUGCCAGCAGCCGCGGUAAUACGGAGGGUGCGAGCGUUAAUCGGAAUUACUGGGCGUAAAGCGUGCGUAGGCGGUGCGUUAAGUUAGAUGUGAAAGCCCUGGGCUUAACCUGGGAACGGCAUUUAAGACUGGCGCGCUAGAGUUGGGUAGAGGGAAGUGGAAUUUCCGGUGUAGCGGUGAAAUGCGUAGAUAUCGGAAGGAACACCAGUGGCGAAGGCGGCUUCCUGGACCCAAACUGACGCUGAGGUACGAAAGCGUGGGUAGCAAACAGG
RNAcentral lists this ribosomal RNA (428 nucleotides) under uncultured bacterium. RNAcentral's name for it is "bacterial SSU rRNA". It matches the Rfam family "Bacterial small subunit ribosomal RNA", at positions 355 to 776 of the family's 1533-position model. The record is from RNAcentral.